GCAGAGGCGCGGAUGGUCGCUUCAUGCCGGGAGCAUGAAGAGGAAAGUCCGGGCAACUCAGAGCAGCAUAUUUUCUAACGGAAAGCCGGGGGUGACCCCGGGGAUAAUGUGACAGAAAAUUACCGCCCUCCUUGCUUAGCGCCGUUGAGGCGCAGGAGCAGGCGCGGGUAAGGGUGAAAAGGUGGGGUAAGAGCCCACCGGUCUCCGGGGCGACUCGGAGAGCCGCACAUCCUAUGCGUUGCAAGGCCAAGUAUACCGGCAGUUAAGGAUGGCUCGUCCAUUGCCGGGGGGUAGGCCGCUAAAGUCGGCGGGCAACCGUCGGACUCAGAUAAAUGACCGUCAGCUCCCCUUUCUCUGUUUGUUCCCCUCUACGGUGAACUCGAGUUUCGGGCGCUACAUAACCCGGCUUAUAACGCCUCUGCCCUU
This 426-nucleotide RNase P RNA is filed under the name Bacteroides sp. RNAcentral's name for it is "RNase P RNA component class A". It matches the Rfam family "Bacterial RNase P class A". Rfam says of the family: Ribonuclease P (RNase P) is a ubiquitous endoribonuclease, found in archaea, bacteria and eukarya as well as chloroplasts and mitochondria. Its best characterised activity is the generation of mature 5'-ends of tRNAs by cleaving the 5'-leader elements of precursor-tRNAs. Cellular RNase Ps are ribonucleoproteins. Lineage: Bacteria; Pseudomonadati; Bacteroidota; Bacteroidia; Bacteroidales; Bacteroidaceae. The record is from RNAcentral.